Molecule: long non-coding RNA, 497 nt
Organism: Pecten maximus
Lineage: Eukaryota; Metazoa; Mollusca; Bivalvia; Pectinida; Pectinidae
Exons: 3
Source: RefSeq, a predicted model, not a curated record
AACUCAUACUUCCAUAUUAAUGCUUUAGCAACAGUAAAUAGUCGUCACUCACUGGGGAUUCCAUGCUAUCGAUCAUCUCGUAACUCGGUUGUUGGUGAAUAUCGGACAGAUCAGAGAUUUAUUUCUUAUUUCAACGGGACAAAAAUGGAGAGAAUCACAAUUUAUGUGCAAAGAGGCAAUGGGAAGAUAUUAUCUGUUGAAACCCAUCCAGACGAUAAAAUAUCAACACUGUUCGAAAAAAUAGCAGACGUGACAGGGGAACCUGUACAAUAUACGAGACUGCUGUUUGGCGGGAAGCAAUUAACGACAGGGGAUGCUGUCAAGGACGAAAAAUCACUUGCUCACCAUGGUAUACAAAACCGGUCUAUAUUACAUCUGAUAUUCAGUUACCCAGGUGGCGGGCCAUGCAAUUACAAACAGAAGUCUGGGGACAUUUAAGAAAUGUGUAAAGUUGUCUUUCAGAUCCUGAAUAAAUUAUAAUUGAUAUCUAAAUUCGA